Molecule: small RNA, 1141 nt
Filed under: uncultured beta proteobacterium
Lineage: Bacteria; Pseudomonadati; Pseudomonadota; Betaproteobacteria
Description: bacterial SSU rRNA
Rfam family: Bacterial small subunit ribosomal RNA (bases 1-467)
Source: RNAcentral
GUCGUGAGAUGUUGGGUUAAGUCCCGCAACGAGCGCAACCCUUGUCAUUAGUUGCUACAUUCAGUUGGGCACUCUAAUGAGACUGCCGGUGACAAACCGGAGGAAGGUGGGGAUGACGUCAAGUCCUCAUGGCCCUUAUGGGUAGGGCUUCACACGUAAUACAAUGGCGCGUACAGAGGGUUGCUAAGCCGCGAGGUAGAGCCAAUCCCUUAAAGCGCGUCGUAGUCCGGAUUGCAGUCUGCAACUCGACUGCAUGAAGUCGGAAUCGCUAGUAAUCGCGGAUCAGCAUGUCGCGGUGAAUACGUUCCCGGGUCUUGUACACACCGCCCGUCACACCAUGGGAGUGGGUUUCACCAGAAGCCGGUCGCCUAACCGCAAGGGGGGCGCCGACCACGGUGAGAUUCAUGACUGGGGUGAAGUCGUAACAAGGUAGCCGUAUCGGAAGGUGCGGCUGGAUCACCUCCUUUCUAAGACAAGUACCUCUCAGUGCCCACCCUCUAUCGGCUGUUAUUUGAAGUUGCAGCCGUUUCAUGUUGACCACACUAAGGGGUCUGUAGCUCAGUUGGUUAGAGCACCGUCUUGAUAAGGCGGGGGUCGAUGGUUCGAAUCCAUCCAGACCCACCAGACACCUGAAUCACCGGGGCCAUAGCUCAGCUGGGAGAGCGCCUGCUUUGCAAGCAGGAGGUCACCGGUUCGAUCCCGGUUGGCUCCACCAGCGUCUUAGCGAGGAAUCAGCAAUCAGCAUCGUGAAUCGAUGUUGAUUGGUGCUUCUUCGAUAGAAACACCGAUCGGCUGCUCUUUAACAAUUCGGGAUGGAAGGUAAAGUGAUUUACGAGAUUUGAGGCGCGAGGUUUGCGUGCUCGAGUCGCGUGGAUCAUGGGUUAUGUAUUGCAUCGUGUGUCUUCACCGGUCGAGUGGUGGAGGCGCGCAAGCAUGAAGCGUGAGAAUUUCUUAUUUCUUUGUGAUGCUCUGGGGGACUUUGCCCUGGGGUGCUUCUUCUCUAAAGGAGGAGGCAGCAAGGUUAUAGGGUCAAGCGAAUAAGUGCAUGUGGUGGAUGCCUUGGCAAUGAUAGGCGACGAAGGACGUGACAGCCUGCGAUAAGCUGCGGGGAGCCGGCAAAUGGGCGCUGAUCCGCAGAUUU